This 442-nucleotide ribosomal RNA is filed under the name uncultured Pelagibacterales bacterium. RNAcentral's name for it is "bacterial SSU rRNA". It matches the Rfam family "Bacterial small subunit ribosomal RNA", at positions 1077 to 1533 of the family's 1533-position model. Lineage: Bacteria; Pseudomonadati; Pseudomonadota; Alphaproteobacteria; Candidatus Pelagibacterales. The record is from RNAcentral.
UGGGUAGUCCGCACGAGCGCACCUUACUUUUAGUUGCUACCAUUUAGUUGGGCACUCUAAAAGAACUGCCAGUGAUAAGCUGGAGGAAGGUGGGGAUGACGUCAAGUCCUCAUGGCCCUUAUGUGUUGGGCUACACACAUGCUACAAUGGUAUUUACAGUGGGAUGCAAAGAGGCAACUCCAAGCCAACCCCUCAAAGAAUACCUCAGUUCGGAUUGUACUCUGCAACUCGAGUACAUGAAGCUGGAAUUACUAGUAAUCGCGGAUCAGCGUGCCGCGGUGAAUACGUUCCCGGGUCUUGUACACACCGCCCGUCACACCAUGGAAGUUGGUUACACCUUAAGGCAAAGUGUAAAACCUUUGACUACGGUACGAUCAGCGACUGGGGUGAAGUCGUAACAAGGUAGCCGUAGGGGAACCUGCGGCUGGAUCACCUCCUUUCU